This 440-nucleotide ribosomal RNA is filed under the name uncultured bacterium. RNAcentral's name for it is "partial 16S ribosomal RNA". It matches the Rfam family "Bacterial small subunit ribosomal RNA", at positions 338 to 795 of the family's 1533-position model. The record is from RNAcentral.
CCUACGGGUGGCUGCAGUGGGGAAUAUUGCACAAUGGGGGGAACCCUGAACCAGCAACGCCGCGUGAGUGAAGAAGUAUUUCGGUUUGUAAAGCUCUAUCAGCAGGGAAGAAAAUGACGGUACCUGACUAAUAAGCCCCAGCUAACUACGUGCCAGCAGCCGCGGUAAUACGUAGGGGGCAAGCGUUAACCGGAUUUACUGGGUGUAAAGGGAGCGUAGACGGUGUAGCAAGUCUGAUGUGAAAGGUCAGGACCCAACCCCGGGACUGCAUUGGAAACUGUUAAUCUAGAGUAUAGGAGAGGUAAGCGGAAUGCCUGGUGGAGCGGUGAAAUGCGUAGAGAUUAGGAGGAAUACCAGUGGCGAAGGCGACUUACUGGACUGUAACUGACGUUGAGGCGCGAAAGCGUGGGGAGCAAACAGGAUUAGAUACCCCAGUAGUC